UACGUAGGAGGCAAGCGUUGUCCGGAAUUACUGGGCGUAAAGCGCGUGUAGGUGGUGGGACAAGUCUGCUGUGGAAGCGCCUGGCUUAACCGGGCGAGGUCGGCGGAAACUGUCCGACUCGAGGACGGUAGAGGGGGGUGGAAUUCCCGGUGUAGUGGUGAAAUGCGUAGAGAUCGGGAGGAACACCUGUGGCGAAGGCGGCCCCCUGGGCCGGCCCUGACACUGAGACGCGAAGGCGUGGGGAGCGAACAGG
RNAcentral lists this ribosomal RNA (253 nucleotides) under uncultured bacterium. Its description in RNAcentral is "partial 16S ribosomal RNA". It matches the Rfam family "Bacterial small subunit ribosomal RNA", at positions 524 to 776 of the family's 1533-position model. The record is from RNAcentral.